This 331-nucleotide ribosomal RNA is filed under the name uncultured eukaryote. RNAcentral describes it as "partial 18S ribosomal RNA". It matches the Rfam family "Eukaryotic small subunit ribosomal RNA", at positions 1470 to 1796 of the family's 1831-position model. The record is from RNAcentral.
CCCUUAGAUGUUCUGGGCCGCACGCGCGCUACACUGACGAAGUCAGCGAGCAUGUCCUACGCCGACAGGUGCGGGGAAUCUUGUCAAACUUCGUUGUGAUGGGGAUUGAUUAUUGAAAUUCUUGAUCAUCAACGAGGAAUUCCUAGUAAGCGCAAGUCAGCAGCUUGCGUUGAUUACGUCCCUGCCCUUUGUACACACCGCCCGUCGCUACUACCGAUUGAAUGGUUUAGUGAGAUCUUCGGAUUGGCGCCACUGCGGCUCAGCAAUGGGCUCGGUGGAUGCCGAAAAGUUGAUCAAACUUGAUCAUUUAGAGGAAGUAAAAGUCGUAACA